This 71-nucleotide transfer RNA is filed under the name Buceros rhinoceros silvestris. It matches the Rfam family "tRNA". Rfam says of the family: Transfer RNA (tRNA) molecules are approximately 80 nucleotides in length. The record is from Rfam by way of RNAcentral. Lineage: Eukaryota; Metazoa; Chordata; Aves; Bucerotiformes; Bucerotidae.
UAGGCAGUUGUGGAGAGUAAAAACGCCAGCUUUGGGAGCUGGCGAUAGAGGUUUGAGUCCUCUUUUUCUGA